Molecule: long non-coding RNA, 2116 nt
Organism: Dermacentor andersoni
Lineage: Eukaryota; Metazoa; Arthropoda; Arachnida; Ixodida; Ixodidae
Source: RefSeq, a predicted model, not a curated record
CAAGUGAUGUACGCAUGGUGAGAUGUAGCAAGGUAUUACAACGGUCGUAUACCUUCAACUUUACCGCCGAAUAACCGUUUCCCAGAGUGCGUAGGGUAUGCAUAGUUUUAUCUCUAGCCUUUAAUGCACGAUAUGUCUAUAAACAAACUGGAAGUUUAUAAGCAAGAGGGACGUGAUGAUGUGCAUAGCGCAGACAUCAUCGUUGAUAUUCCACUUGUUUCACCAAACAACCCACAGUAUUGAAGAGCAACCUUCCCUAAGCCGUCAUUAUACGGUAUGUGAUCAGCAAUUGCCAGUUGAACAGCCAUAAAUGAACAGCAAUCGUUGGUAACCGGUGGAAGAAACCUUCACUUCAAAAAGUGGCGGCAACCUUUUCGAGCCUGUGCUGUAUUGCCAAAAUACUGCGUUCUUUUGAUUUGCCUUCGUCGUCCACAGAUGCAUCCUCGCAAACCUCAUGGACGGCUUCGAAAUCAUCACUCAGCUGACUGCAGCACUUCGGGAUGCGGCCACCCGCCAGGCCGUGGCCGUGGAAUAGCUGACCACCGAGGCCAGGCUGCACAGGGAGGCUGCCGACCGACAGGCUGCCUUGGAAGCCAUCCGGCAGCAACAGGGCCAGGCGUCGCAGGAGCUCCGCAGCGUGGGAACACUCUCGCAGGCCAUUGCUGCGACACUGCAGCAGCCGCACGAUAUUUUUAUUCGAUUUUUGUAAAUCUUUCUUUAAUCGACAGCAAAGGUUGUUGCAGCAGAUUUUUUUGAAAAUCUGCAGCAAUGUUCUUGCACUGCAUUUUUUUAUCUGCAUCAAAGGUCGUUGCCGUGUAUGGUUUUAAACAUGCAGCAAAUGUCAGUGUAGUGUAUUUUUUCUUAUCUGUAGCAAAGUAGUUGUGUAUAGAUUUAAAUCUGCAGCGAAGGUUUUAGUGUAUAUUUUUAAAUGUGCAGCAAAGGUUGUUGUGUAUAUGCUUAAACCUACAACGGAAGUUGCCUUUUUUGUAUACUUUCGGAAAACGUCGCAUGUUUUUCUCUAUUAGACACAUUUAUCCCAGGGAAACAAGAAACGUGAAAUAUCAUUAGAGGUACAAUACACCUUUGAAGAAACAUAUGUUCUUAUGAGUUCUACACUGCAAUAUCGCGACGAGUGUACAGCCAUUUACGGUGCUUGUAACAACAAACAUGCGAAAAUGUGUGUUUAUUGUUUGUUCUCUUAUGGUGUAUAGGAUAAAAUCAUGGUGUUUGUCUUCUUCGUUUUAUUUAUUUUUGACAAACACCGCAUUCCACAUGAGGACGUCUGAGAACUUGGACUGUGCACUAGUUUUUGUGUCGCUACUUCUGAAUUACUUGUGGGAGCUUGUUUUUGUGUAUUGCUAUGACGUUGUUGUGCUAUGUGUGUAUAUCGGUGCGGAGGAGAAGUAGGUGCCUCUUAAUGUCUCCAUACAUAUGUUAUAAAUUGACGCUCGUUUCUUGUUUUUUUACCUUAGAGUAAGGGCAACUUUCUUUUACUCAAGCAUAUUAUACAGGGUAGCUCCGAUACAAUUUCAGUUCUGAGACAGUGCUCAUGUCAUGCAAUUUUAUUUUGUAAGCAUGUUUCCGUGUUCCCACUUGCCCGCGUUGCAGUCCCCAUUCAAACAGCCUUUUUCGUACUACCCGCCAGUUUGUGGGGUCGUCACAUUGGCUCGAUGGCAAACUCGGAAACCGUGUACCAUUCACAGUUAAGCCACUGCUUGUGCAUUAGUGUGAGCCAACAUACUUCAUAGGAAAGAUAGCAAGUUAUUAUUGGGCGCUAAGACAAGGACAAGAAAGAAGCACAUGACAUAUAUGCACUUGUAUUGUGCUUCUUUUAUGUACGCCUUUCUUUCCCGUGCAUAAAUAAUAUGCGCAGUUCAUCAGGAUGGCAUUUUGCACCACAUUGCGCACCCAUGGAGUCAUUCAUUGAAAGAAGAAUCCGGUUUCGUUGAGAUGGGCAGCUAAUGUACAAGACGUUCUCAUGCUAAAAAUAUUGCACUGGACUGAAGAACAUAGCAAAACGUAGUCGCAGCGUGAUGCUCCAGGGAGAAAACAGUGCAUCGUAUUGCUUGACGUUGAUGUGAUAACAAGUCACCAAUAAAUUUAAAAAGGGUAAUCA